Molecule: ribosomal RNA, 253 nt
Filed under: uncultured bacterium
Lineage: Bacteria
Description: partial 16S ribosomal RNA
Rfam family: Bacterial small subunit ribosomal RNA
Source: RNAcentral
UACGUAGUGGGCAAGCGUUGUCCGGAUUUAUUGGGCGUAAAGAGCGUGUAGGCGGCUUGACAGGUCUGCUGUGAAAACUCGAGGCUCAACCUCGAGAUGUCGGCGGAAACCGUCUGGCUAGAGUCCGGAAGAGGAGAGUGGAAUUCCUGGUGUAGCGGUGAAAUGCGCAGAUAUCAGGAAGAACACCUAUGGCGAAGGCAGCUCUCUGGGACGGUACUGACGCUGAGACGCGAAAGCGUGGGGAGCGAACAGG